This 686-nucleotide ribosomal RNA is filed under the name uncultured archaeon. Its description in RNAcentral is "bacterial SSU rRNA". It matches the Rfam family "Archaeal small subunit ribosomal RNA", at positions 174 to 866 of the family's 1478-position model. The record is from RNAcentral.
CUUGCAUUAUGCUUGCAGGUGCCGCCCAAGGAUGGGGCCGCGACCGAUCAGGUUGUUGGUGAGGUAAUGGCUCACCAAGCCUUUUACCGGUGCGGGCCGUGAGAGCGGGAGCCCGGAGAUGGGCACUGAGACAAGGGCCCAGGCCCUACGGGGCGCAGCAGUCGCGAAAACUUUGCAAUAAGCGAAAGCUUGACAGGGCUAUCCCGAGUGCCAUCCGCUGAGGAAGGCUUUUACCCAGUCUAGAACGCUGGGGGAAUAAGGAGAGGGCAAGUCUGGUGUCAGCCGCCGCGGUAAUACCAGCUCUUCGAGUGGUGUGGAUGUUUAUUGGGCCUAAAGCAUCCGUAGCUGGCUAGGUUAGUCCCUUGUUAAACCCACCGAAUUAAUCGUUGGAUUGCGGGGGAUACUGCUUGGCUAGGGGACGAGAGAGGCAGACGGUAUUUCCGGGGUAGGGGUGAAAUCCUAUAAUCCCGGGAAGACCACCAGUGGCGAAGGCUGUCUGCUAGAACGCGCCCGACGGUGAGGGAUGAAAGCUGGGGGAGCGAACCGGAUUAGAUACCCGGGUAGUCCCAGCUGUAGACGAUGCAGGCUAGGUGUUUGGACGGCCACGUGCCGUUCUAGUGCCGCAGGGAAGCUGUUAAGCCUGCCGCCUGGGGAGUACGAUCGCAAGGUUGAAACUUAAAGGAAUU